This 99-nucleotide transfer RNA is filed under the name Stenotrophomonas geniculata. RNAcentral's name for it is "tRNA-Ser". Lineage: Bacteria; Pseudomonadati; Pseudomonadota; Gammaproteobacteria; Lysobacterales; Lysobacteraceae. The record is from RNAcentral.
UCGACGUCUGGUACUGGACGAUUCCGUUCUCCAACGGCUGCUGCUCGCUGGGCGUGGUUGCCGAGCCGUCGUUCUUCGAGCGCUACGAAGGCGACGACC